GACCAAAUUUAACACUUUUAAUGGCCUUAAAUUUGACUAUUUUUAUUUAUCACUUUUUAAUACUUUUUAAAACCCCGCGGACACCCUGUAGCUGCAGACGCAGCCCCGAAAAACCACGCCCCCGACCAAACACGCCCCCAUGUGCCUGUUGAGCUCCCCCGAGCUCCCCUGGUGGUCAGAAAAGGGAAAUAUCUCAAUAACGGCAGCCCUCCCAGUCUGCAGCUAGGUAUUAUUGACAAAAGACGCCUGCAUGUUCGAAGACAAGAGAACUCGCAUGCGUGUUGCAACACCAGAUGGAAAUGACAGUUCAGGUAAAGACAGAUUUAUAUUUUUACAACUUGCGAAGAUUUUUUACUUUAAAUUUGAACGUUUAAGACAUAGUUUGAUAGCGCAUUAGUGAUUUUUUUCUGAAACACUUUUAUAUAAAAUUAAGCAUUAUUGGCAGUGGGGGAAGACAUCAUGGACGCAAAAUAUUUUUUAUAUAAUUUUUAAUGGGCUACAUGCAAGCCUUUUGGCCAAAACAAACGUAACAAUAGGCUAUUUAUUUGACCAUUUAUGACUCCUCAUCUAAUAAGCAGCAAACUCACGACGGCAAUGUGGUAGGCCAAAAAUUGUCGCACUCAGACGUGUAAAAUUUGUUAAAACAUGUAACAGAAAAUUCCCUUAAAAACCAUUCAGAUAUAUUUUUACAUGUCAACAUUUAAAUGUAUUAUAGUUUUUUUGACAAGUAGUUGCGUGUAUAGCAUCCAGUAAAUAUUAGUCUGAUGGUAACGUUUCGUAUUUAGGAUAAAAAGAAAAAGAAAACAUGAAAGCAGCACCAUGGUCAGUGACGACCUUACUCCUGCCUGUUUGAAAAUAGGUCACCACUUUCAGGGAUGGAAUGAUUCUGAGACAGCAGCAGUCCCACAAUUAUCAGUUGUUGUAUUUAGCUUUUCCAAUGUGUUUUGGUUGAUUUGUUGAUUUUAAAAAGCAGAGAGUUUGAUAUGUUGUCAACUUUCAAUAGUGGUGGUAUAAGAAGUGCAAAUGUCAGUCCUCUUUGGAUAACUGUAAAACAAACUGAUACAAUUAUUUGCUUUCCUCUGAGUCCACAGGACACCGACCAUGUGUAUUUUAAGACACCUUACAGCUUUCCACCCAGAGAGCAGGACAAUGACGGCAUGGACCAACACAACGUGGUCACCACAACCAGAGAUGUUGGGAUCCUGAGUAAAGACGUGUCUUACGACAGGCUUGUGGAAAGGGCUCAGCAAGCUGAAGACCAAAGAAGAGUCAGCAGGUGAUCUUCUUAUAUCAUUUAUCACUCAGGAUAAAGGCCUACUGCUACAUCUGGAAGUGAGUUUGAAAUUUAUAAUUAAAUUUGCACACUGUAACUAAUUUCAGUCAAAACAUGACUUAUGAAUUAUUCAAGUGAAACAUGUUCUGCUAACCUAGUGUUUGGACAUUUACUUUGAGCAUCCUCCAAAAAUAUCUCUAUUUACAGGCAAUCAUCGCAGGAAAAGUGUCAUCCACCUGGGCUUCAUCAAAGGGCAGGGUGGACAGCUGGACAGAGUGAUGGGCUUCUUGACAAGCCUGGUUGAAGCACAGACAACCAGAUGUCACAAUCAAGUGGCAUUCAUGAUGGAUGUGCUUCUGCCAGAGGUACAUGCUGAAAAUGUUUAUGUAUCACAUGAAAAUAUUUUGUAGCAGUACUGUUGUCAGUCUAUAACUCAUGGAUAAUAUCUUGUUACCUGCAACAUGACAGACUAAUGUCUACAUGAAAGAUGUCCUUUUGUUCACCUCAUUACUCAGGCAACCAUCCAUGCGCUUUCAGCUGUCCAUGAAUGUUGACGGACAAAGACACAGAAAUGUACGGCAGUGGGCUGCAGUAUGACUGGAGGUAUUCUACAAACACAAGAACAGGGCUAAUGUCUAUAUGUAUUGUUUUCACAUUGUUUAUGACAGCCUCUAGGUGUGAAUGUCAUUUUUACUAGGGAUGUAAGAAAAUAUCGAUAUGGCAAUAUAUCGUGAUAAUUUUUCCAGCAAUAUUAUAUCGAUAUUCAAAAGCCGUUAUCGAAAAUAUUGAUAUGGCAAUAUAUCGUGAUUUUUUCCCUGCGAUUAUUACAUCGAUAUUCAAAAGCCGUGUAUCUAAUCUUUGAAAGAAUUUACAUGCAAACAUUUGUGUAUUUACUUUUCGUUUGGUGCAAUUCAAUCGCCACCCGCUAGUUGGCAGCAGUGUGCAACGGGUUUUGUUUCCACCAUUUAAAAUGUAAAUCCCUCCAUCAUGGGUCAGAUACCUCAUGUUAAACAUGUUACGUAUCAGUUUGGACAGUUUAUUGAACAUUCUUACAAUAAAUUCAGUAAAAAAAAUUGCUUGUAACGUCUGACUGAAUGUAUUGCAAUAUAUCGUGAUAUAUCGUAUCGUCUCCCCUGUAUCGUGAUAUGUAUCGUAUUGUCAGAAUUUCAACGAUACACAUCCCUGAUUUUUACUAAUUGAUAUUUAUCUUUGUCUCAUUAGUGAGAGGCAGCUGAUGUCCAAUGGCAUGGAACUGCUCAUAUACUCAGAGAAAUUCAGAAAAGUUCUGGACUCAACUGAAUUUUUGAAGAGGCUGUAGUAUUGUGUUGACUUUUUUUUUUUUGAAGGUAUUUGUAAGGCCAAUAAAAGUUGUUGCUGGUUGUUUCAUUUGUCUGAACUUUUUUUCUGAAGCAAAACUUUUCUGCUUUUGUGUUUACAGUAUAUUUUUUAAAGAUUAGUGUAUGGUCAAUAUCAGUUUACUAGUCUUGUGAAUUGUAUACUUAAUGCAAAAUAUUUUAGUAAUUUCUAAAUCAAUACAUUUUGUGUCAAAGGGCCAGCAAUUAUUCCUGUUAACAGAAUAUAUGAAAUGCAUAUAUACACAUGUAAAUAUGCCUAAAAAUUACACAUCAGCAGCUUUUCACUGUAAAGAAGCAAUAAAAAAUCAUAAAUAGUGACAUAAAUAUUAACUACUCACUCGUAUUGACUUAGACCCACUGUUAGUGCCUGUAAUAACAAAUGUUUGAAAGUUAAAUGUUGCUGUAGGAAGCGUGCUCCCACAUAAAUGGAGGCUAGUGGGCUUAAGGGGUUAAUUAAAACUAUUACCACUAAUUACUUUUUCUGAUAUUUUAUCUUAUUGCAUUUAAAAUAAACACUUGCACAUACAUUACUCACCUGCUAACUUAAGUAAGCAUAGGUAUGUUGCGCCUAUUGUCCGGCAACUGAUUAUUUGUUGGUGGUAUCUGUGUUUUAUAAUCCCACUGGGGAUGGCCAAAAAGUGUGUAUGCAAGAAAAAAAAUCCAUGCAUUCAUAUUUAAAUCUGGAGUCCUGUCUGUUUAAUUACAUUGUUACUAUUUCUGUAUAAACGUAUUAUUUCAAUUGUAUUGUUCGCAUUGAAAGGCGUUUGACAAAAAGGAAAUUGUUUAGGGGGCUUGAGGCUGGGUGCUGC
Molecule: long non-coding RNA, 3437 nt
Filed under: Nothobranchius furzeri (turquoise killifish)
Lineage: Eukaryota; Metazoa; Chordata; Actinopteri; Cyprinodontiformes; Nothobranchiidae
Description: lncRNA (ENSNFUG00015002690.1)
Source: RNAcentral